Molecule: long non-coding RNA, 714 nt
Filed under: Panax ginseng (ginseng)
Lineage: Eukaryota; Viridiplantae; Streptophyta; Magnoliopsida; Apiales; Araliaceae
Description: long non-coding RNA (PGIN_LNC003072)
Source: RNAcentral
UGUUAUGUGUUUUUGUUGUUUAAAUGUUUGAAGUUGUAGUAUGUUAUGAUAUCUUUGAUCUGGAACUGGAAUCAGGCUUAGGAGAUGAGUAUAUUUUAUGUUAUUCAUGGUCAAACUCGGUUGACCAAGCAUGACCAGUAGAUUUCUGGGUAACCCAGAAAUCAUUUUCCAGUGUCUGACAAGAUUUUUAAGGCUUCCGAUUUGUCAGGUUUUUGUGGAUUUGUUAUUGUUCUUGCCUUCAUGUUGUAGUAUGUUAGAUGGACUCUAGAUCCAUGUCUUUAUACCCUUCAUAACAUAAAUAUAUCGAUCUGAGUGAGUGGUCAAAGUAGACCACUCGUCACCGAUUAAGCAUUUCUGGAAAACCCAGAAACCGGAUGCACAAGUUUUCUGACAGCCAUUGACCGAUCAAGAUCUUUCUAGUGUUUUGUUGUUAUGCUUAUGUGUUGUAUUAGAUCUGUACUAUUACAUACUAUCUACAAUCUAGAUGUCUUAAAUCACAUGAAAGUUACCAGUAUUGCAAGUUAUGGAGAUCUAAAGUAGGUACCUUGUACUGUUCUUCAUUUCUGGAAAACCCAGAAAUGAAGAACAACGUCUGACAAUGGUUUUGAGAGAUUAAAUCUCUUUGUUGUUUAAUGAUUUGACCAUGCAAUCCAUUUGUAGUUAUAGUGAUGCAUGAGUACUACAAUAUCUAAUCGAUCUCAAGCCCAGAAACAC